RNAcentral lists this long non-coding RNA (1822 nucleotides) under Sorghum bicolor (sorghum). Its description in RNAcentral is "long non-coding RNA (SBIC_LNC007761)". The record is from RNAcentral. Lineage: Eukaryota; Viridiplantae; Streptophyta; Magnoliopsida; Poales; Poaceae.
UAGCUCACAAUGGCAGGCACAAAGCUCGUAUCACUGGGGCUCAUUGUCCUCAUGAGCAUAGGAUUAGCCAAUGCUGUUAGGGUGGCUAGAUACUCUAGUGCUGAUGGGACUGGCAUAGGCCAGGGAGGGGGUGGUGGAUAUGUGAAUGGUGGGGGAUCAGGGUCUGGGUCUGGCACCGGAUCAGGUGAUAGUGGCCCUUAUGGUUCCCAUGCAAGUGCUGGAGGGGGCGGUGGAGGUGGUGGAACUAGCCAAUACGGUGGGUCUGGAUAUGGUUCAGGGUCAGGGUCAGGUUCAGGGUCUAGUACAUAUAGUCAAGGACGGUAUUCUGGCUAUGGAGAGUCUUCUAAUGCUGGUGGUGCCGGUGGGGGUGGGGGUGGAGGACAAGCCGGAGGUGCCUGGAAUUCCAAUGCUCAAGGAUCCGGUAGUGGCACCGGUUCUGGCUCUAGCUAUGCUAACAGGAAUUGGUAUGGAUCAAGUCAAGCAGGUGCACGUGCUAAUGGCAAUGGUGGUGGCACAGGAAAUAGUCAAAAUGGUGGCGGUGCCGGUGGUUCUGGUGCCGGAACUGGGUAUGGCAAUGCCUACCCAUAAAUUCCAUAUAAGCCAAUCUAAAGUUGGAGCCCAUCGUAGUCUUUCAUUGUUUGAAGUCAUAAAGUUGUUGGUUUUCUUUGUCCCUUUGUUGCACUUUUGUUAGCAGUAAAUUAAUAAAGGGUCCAACUGUUCUAGCAACAGUAGCAGUCUUGUAAGGUCCUUAUAUGAAGAUGUUGUAAUCAUGUCGGUUUGUGAAAGGAAAAAAACAACUUGUCCAUCAUGUGGCCACUCUAUCUAAAAAAAUUCAUAUGUUCCCUUUGCAGUGAUUAAGUUGAGAGGCCUACACCAUGCAUGUUCACAUGGUUAUUAAAGUAUAUACCACUGAAUUUCCUAGAGUUGUUUAUAUCACUUAAUUACGAUAAUAACUGCAAGUGGGUCAAUCCAGUCUAGAACAUAAUUUACAAGAACUGCCACAAACCCAUUUAUGUCAAUCCAGCCUAGAACAUAAUUAGCAUUAACCGCAUGAUAAUAUAAAUACCCUAAGUGCAUAUUUAGGUGAAGGCUUUAUGUUAAGCAUUUGUGUAGCCAAAAAGGAUCAAACAACAUAGCCUAGUUUGGUGGUCAAUAUUUUCUGCAUUUAUGCAUCGUGCUUCUUCGCUCUCGUGAAUGGCUAAUCAAGGAGACAGAUUCUUCAUGUCCAGUUCUAUUCAAUAUUCGUCUUCCAUCAGUGAUCAGUCCAUAUCAUCGUACUUUUAAAUGACACAUUACAGUUCACAUUACUAUUGAUUUCUAAUGCAUAAUUUAGAUCUCAUUUACUGUGUCGCUUAAGACUUAACGCCCUAUAACAGAUUUUGGUUGAGGAGGGCAACUGAGUAGAUGAGGCAGCUCAAUUGCGUCCCGUGCGUGGCUGCUCACUGGCUCGACAUUCUUGUCCCUCGAUUGCAUUCCUUGUAGGAGGAUCACAGAGAACCAAAUGGAAGAGAGGCCAUAUCUGCUAUCUUUAGGUUUGUACUCAUCUUGUUGUUCACGUAUGGAUCACGGAUGGAUGUACAGUUUGGGUCUUCUCUAUUAUCCGAAGAGCAGGAGUCGUCCCUUAGAUUUCUUUUGUUACCUUUGUCCAUAUGGCGCCAUGCAUAAUCUCAUGGAGAAGAGGCUUUGCUAUGGGGCCCUUGGUAGUGAAGUUCCUGUUUGACUCAUCACUUGACUUGAGCUACAGUCUUCACUAUUCACCCACUCUUGAAUUUUCAUCAUGUUCUUACAUAUGUACCUGAGAAAUGUUAGGUUUCAUUCUCUU